This 460-nucleotide ribosomal RNA is filed under the name uncultured Sphingobacteriales bacterium. Its description in RNAcentral is "bacterial SSU rRNA". It matches the Rfam family "Bacterial small subunit ribosomal RNA", at positions 923 to 1382 of the family's 1533-position model. Lineage: Bacteria; Pseudomonadati; Bacteroidota; Sphingobacteriia; Sphingobacteriales. The record is from RNAcentral.
GCGACAAGCGGAGGAGCAUGUGGUUUAAUUCGAUGAUACGCGAGGAACCUUAACCUGGGCUCGAACGUAAGAUGACUGUAGGUGAAAGCUUACAUCUCUUCGGAGCAUUUUACGAGGUGCUGCAUGGUUGUCGUCAGCUCGUGCCGUGAGGUGUCGGGUUAAGUCCCAUAACGAGCGCAACCCUACCUUUAGUUGCCAUCAGGUAAUGCUGGGGACUCUAAAGGAACUGCCUACGCAAGUAGUGAGGAAGGCGGGGAUGACGUCAAAUCAGCACGGCCCUUACGUCCAGGGCUACACACGUGCUACAAUGGCCGAUACAGAGGGCAGCUACCUGGUGACAGGAUGCAAAUCUCCAAAGUCGGUCUCAGUUCGGAUCGGAGUCUGCAACCCGACUCCGUGAAGUUGGAUUCGCUAGUAAUCGCGCAUCAGCCAUGGCGCGGUGAAUACGUUCCCGGGCCUU